RNAcentral lists this ribosomal RNA (438 nucleotides) under Pseudomonas aeruginosa. RNAcentral's name for it is "bacterial SSU rRNA". It matches the Rfam family "Bacterial small subunit ribosomal RNA", at positions 30 to 466 of the family's 1533-position model. The record is from RNAcentral. Lineage: Bacteria; Pseudomonadati; Pseudomonadota; Gammaproteobacteria; Pseudomonadales; Pseudomonadaceae.
AUUGAACGCUGGCGGCAGGCCUAACACAUGCAAGUCGAGCGGAUGAAGGGAGCUUGCUCCUGGAUUCAGCGGCGGACGGGUGAGUAAUGCCUAGGAAUCUGCCUGGUAGUGGGGGAUAACGUCCGGAAACGGGCGCUAAUACCGCAUACGUCCUGAGGGAGAAAGUGGGGGAUCUUCGGACCUCACGCUAUCAGAUGAGCCUAGGUCGGAUUAGCUAGUUGGUGGGGUAAAGGCCUACCAAGGCGACGAUCCGUAACUGGUCUGAGAGGAUGAUCAGUCACACUGGAACUGAGACACGGUCCAGACUCCUACGGGAGGCAGCAGUGGGGAAUAUUGGACAAUGGGCGAAAGCCUGAUCCAGCCAUGCCGCGUGUGUGAAGAAGGUCUUCGGAUUGUAAAGCACUUUAAGUUGGGAGGAAGGGCAGUAAGUUAAUACCU